AACGCACAUUGCGCCCCCUGGCCAUUCCGGGGGGCAUGCCUGUUCGAGCGUCAUUUAUACCAAUCUAGCCUGGCUAGGUGUUGGGCUCCGCCGUCUGGCGGGCCUUAAAACUAGUGGCGGUGCCCUUCGGCUCUACGCGUAGUAAUUUUCUCGCUAUAGGGUCCGGAGGGAUGCUGGCCAGCAACCCCAAAUUUUUCUAGGUUGACCUCGGAUCAGGUAGGGAUACCCGCUGAACUUAA
RNAcentral lists this unclassified non-coding RNA (239 nucleotides) under uncultured fungus. Its description in RNAcentral is "sequence contains ITS2". Lineage: Eukaryota; Fungi. The record is from RNAcentral.